UAGGGAAUAUUGGUCAAUGGGGGCAACCCUGAACCAGCCAUGCCGCGUGCAGGAAGACUGCCCUAUGGGUUGUAAACUGCUUUUGUACGGGAAGAAAUCAAUCUACGUGUAGGUUGUUGACGGUACCGUGAGAAUAAGGAUCGGCUAACUUCGUGCCAGCAGCCGCGGUAAUACGAAGGAUCCAAGCGUUGUCCGGAUUUACUGGGUUUAAAGGGUGCGUAGGCGGUUUUAUAAGUCAGUGGUGAAAGCCUUCAGCUUAACUGAAGAAUUGCCAUUGAAACUGUGAGACUCGAGUAUGGUUGAGGUUACUGGAAUGUUGCAUGUAGCGGUGAAAUGCUUAGAUAUGCAACAGAACACCGAUUGCGAAGGCAGGUAACUAAGCCAUAACUGACGCUGAGGC
Molecule: ribosomal RNA, 400 nt
Filed under: uncultured bacterium
Lineage: Bacteria
Description: bacterial SSU rRNA
Rfam family: Bacterial small subunit ribosomal RNA
Source: RNAcentral